ACGAACGCUGGCGGCGUGCUUAACACAUGCAAGUCGAACGGUGAAGCGCCUUCCUUUUUGGUGGGUGUGGAUGAGUGGCGAACGGGUGAGUAACACGUGAGUAACCUGCCCCCUUCUUCUGGAUAACCGCAUGAAAGUGUGGCUAAUACGGGAUAUUCUGGGUCUGUCGCAUGUUGGGUCUGGGAAAGAUAUUGUUUCGGUGGGGGAUGGGCUCGCGGCCUAUCAGCUUGUUGGUGGGGUGAUAGCCUACCAAGGCGGUGACGGGUAGCCGGCCUGAGAGGGUGGACGGUCACACUGGGACUGAGACACGGCCCAGACUCCUACGGGAGGCAGCAGUGGGGAAUAUUGCACAGUGGGCGCAAGCCUGAUGCAGCGACGCCGCGUGAGGGAUGGAGGCCUUCGGGUUGUGAACCUCUUUCGCCAGUGAAGCAGGCCUGCCUCGUUUGUGGGUGGGUUGACGGUAGCUGGAUAAGAAGCGCCGGCUAACUACGUG
Molecule: ribosomal RNA, 493 nt
Filed under: uncultured bacterium
Lineage: Bacteria
Description: partial 16S ribosomal RNA
Rfam family: Bacterial small subunit ribosomal RNA
Source: RNAcentral